This is a long non-coding RNA of Myxocyprinus asiaticus (Chinese sucker), 1036 nucleotides long. RefSeq lists it as uncharacterized. The transcript is spliced from 3 exons. The record is from RefSeq and is a predicted model, not a curated record. Lineage: Eukaryota; Metazoa; Chordata; Actinopteri; Cypriniformes; Catostomidae.
CAGCUCUAUUCUGUUCGAAUGUAACAAAAAUUAUUUAACCCACACAAGAAAUAUAUUUGAGAAGUUUGUUUAAGUUGUUCAGUAGCAUGGUACCAAAGUACAAGGUUUACUAGGUGGAAUGUUGGUGGUACGUACUAGUACUAGUACAUGCUAGAAGGGAACACUACUGUCUUGACACUGGUAUGGACGCCUAUGACACAACACAGGAGGAGAUGAAAACAGCUUAUCUCACACCUCAGGAAUGCUGCAGGUGGCUCAGCACAGGAGAUCCCCGGAGACCCUAUUGGAUGCCAGGCUACAGUUUGCUGACAUCAUCUGUCACCGUCUUUCCUAUGGGCCUUGGCUAAGGAUGGAAGAGUUUUCUUUGAUCUGGUGUGGUUGACAUCAUCUGUGGGAUUUCCACAGUGUUGUCACAUACACACACAUUAGAAUUUGUGCAAUACAAAUCAUUGUAUGUUGUACAUAAAAUGCCAGAUUAGUGCAGAAAAUGCAAUGUCUGCUGAUUCUAUUUUUCCAUUGCACAAUGGAAAAAGAUGAAUGGAUGACACUUGUCUUUUUUAUUUUUUAAGUUGCAUCAGAAACUGAGGAAAUUGAGGCUUAAGUUGCUACAGCGUUUUUAAUUGUAUGAGAAAAGUAGAAAUGAAGGAAUAAUAAAUGGUAAGGUAAUUAAUUUAGCUAGAUGCUAAUGCUUCAAAACGGAAACAGUAUGCAACAAGAACAUCUGUAGUAUCAAAACGCAACUUUAUGUUGUGUUAUCAGUAACACUUCACAAUAAGUUUCUAUUCAUUAACAUUACUUAAUUAGCCAUCAUGAACUAACAAUGAAUAAUACUUUUCUGCAGCAUUUAUUCAUCUUUGUUCAUGUUAACUUAUGUAAAUACAAUUGUAAGUUGUUAGUUCAUAAUACAUUUACUAAUGUUCAGAUACUUUAAUUUUAAAAAUGCAUCUGUAUAUGUUGAAAUUAUCAUUAACUAAGAUUAAUAAGCACUGUAAAAGUACUGUUCAUUGUUUGUUCAUGUAAACUAUUGACUCUCUAA